RNAcentral lists this ribosomal RNA (577 nucleotides) under uncultured bacterium. Its description in RNAcentral is "bacterial SSU rRNA". It matches the Rfam family "Bacterial small subunit ribosomal RNA", at positions 334 to 902 of the family's 1533-position model. The record is from RNAcentral.
GCUUCCUACGGGAGGCAGCAGUGGGGAAUGUUGGACAAUGGGCGCAAGCCUGAUCCAGCCAUACCGCGUGGGUGAAGAAGGCCUUCGGGUUGUAAAGCCCUUUUGUUGGGAAAGAAAUCCUGCCGGUUAAUAACCAGUAGGGAUGACGGUACCCAAAGAAUAAGCACCGGCUAACUUCGUGCCAGCAGCCGCGGUAAUACGAAGGGUGCAAGCGUUACUCGGAAUUACUGGGCGUAAAGCGUGCGUAGGUGGUUGUUUAAGUCUGCUGUGAAAGCCCUGGGCUCAACCUGGGAAUUGCAGUGGAUACUGGGCGACUAGAGUGUGGUAGAGGAUAGUGGAAUUUCCGGUGUAGCAGUGAAAUGCGUAGAGAUCGGAAGGAACAUCUGUGGCGAAGGCGACUAUCUGGGCCAACACUGACACUGAGGCACGAAAGCGUGGGGAGCAAACAGGAUUAGAUACCCUGGUAGUCCACGCCCUAAACGAUGCGAACUGGAUGUUGGGCACAACUUGGUGCCCAGUAUCGAAGCUAACGCGUUAAGUUCGCCGCCUGGGGAGUACGGUCGCAAGACUGAAACUC